UGUGUGUGUGUGUGUGUGUGUGUGUAUGUAUGUAUGUAGUGUGUGUGUGUGUGUGUGUGUGUGUGUGUGUGUGUGUGCGCAGGCGAGUGAGCAGGAUAAGGGGUUAGCUUGUGACGUAGUGCUUGGCGGAUGACUGG
Long non-coding RNA from Alosa sapidissima (American shad), 137 nucleotides. RefSeq lists it as uncharacterized. The transcript has 2 exons. NCBI's taxonomy places the organism in Eukaryota, Metazoa, Chordata, Actinopteri, Clupeiformes, Clupeidae. The record is from RefSeq and is a predicted model, not a curated record.